Long non-coding RNA from Panthera uncia (snow leopard), 23350 nucleotides. RefSeq lists it as uncharacterized. NCBI's taxonomy places the organism in Eukaryota, Metazoa, Chordata, Mammalia, Carnivora, Felidae. The record is from RefSeq and is a predicted model, not a curated record. The transcript has 2 exons.
UCACUGGUUGGAAUGUUAUUGCCAGGCGGGAAGAAGUGCUCUUGUGACUUUUAAGAUUAGAAGGAAAGAAUUGAGUCAAGUCUUAAUUAAUAGUAUUAUUCUGUCAUUUCCACCUUCCACCAUUUUAUUAUUAUAUUUUGUCAGAAUUGAUUAGCAAAAUGCAUUUACCCAGGGGUUGUCAGGGUUCCUGUUUGUAAGGUCCAAACAACAUUGUUAGUUACUUCAAUCAAUGUAUGCCCCUAAGGGUAGAUUCAUCGAAUUUACCUGUCAAAGCUUAAUUAAGGACAAGCUCCAGGUUGAGUUCAGGCUACUCAAAUUCAGGGUUACGUUCUGUCCGUUUUGCUUCUAAUCAAUGGGUGGUAGGGUGUCAUUUGGAGAGGAUUUUGAAUAUUUGCAAUUUCUGAGGUAGCGUUUUGCUGCUUAAUAAGUACCUUAGUGUGAUUUCUUACUUCGUUUGGUUUUCUUUCUCCACAAUUUCUGUAGAUGCCCAGAUGAAGGCAAUAGCGCCUGGAUAAUCAGAGCAUAUCCUUUGGAGCAUUUGUUGCUAACGUGUAGUUUUUGAGCAAUGCUUGGCAACUGAAAUGGGAAUCUUGUAUUCCUCUUUUAUAGAUGAGUCUGUUAAUAAGUAGGUUGCUCUGCCUUUCAAUUCUGAGCUUGAGUUGUUUCUUUUUUGUAUGUGGAAUUCGUAACCCUCUUUGAUGUCCACCUUCUGUAAAGCAAACAAUAGCUGCAGGAGCAAAAUCCAAGUAACAGUAAUAAUUGUUUGUGUUUAUAAUGUGGUUACCGUGUACCUGGCAUUGUGUUGAAUAUAUUAUUUUAUGAAAUCCCAAGAACAACCCUGUGAGCUAGGUACUUCUGUCGUCUCUAUAUUACAUGAAGGAAAUUGUGAUUGAAGAUGUUAAACAAAUUGUGCCAAGUGCAAGACUGGUAGUAAGUCGUGGAGAUUGAUUUCCAAGCCAGAUCUGCCUGAGCCAAGGCUUUCUUUUAUGUUGUCCUUCACUAAAGACUCACUGAACAGAAAUGAAUGAGUGCUGGGCACAUGCCACGCGGUUAAUUCUAUAUAAAUCCGGUCAGAUUCUGAAUAGUGUCGACCUGGUAGAGUCAGUGUGAAUUUCUCAUCAUAACAAGAGACUUAACGUGGCAAAAGUCAAUAUCCUAAGAAAGGAGAUGUUAAUGCGCCGUGCAGACUGCCCUUUUUGGGGGGAGGGUUGUUGUUGUUGGUUAUUGCUCUAGCAACUACCACAAAGGCAGCAUUUACUUGACAAGCCACGUGUACUUAAGGCAGAACACUGACUGCUUUUCAUGCUGGCAGAUCCGUACUCUACCAGCACUGGCUACCUGUGAGGAAUAUGAGCAAGUUGGAUUUUAGGACAGGAAAAACACAACUUCCACCUCAUUUCACAGUAGGGUUCACUUCGGGAUACAGACUUUUUGGUGGCAGCGACUGUUACCUUCUGCUUGUGAUUUCUGAUACUUGCAGAAUACUUACCUGGCAGAUACUGUCAGAUGACAGGCCCUCCUCCUACAUGUUCUUCAUGAAAGAAGUGCUAGUUGCAAGCGUUUUAUUACAUUAGAAUUCUACUUAAUGCCGCUUUAGCUUAGAGUGUGUUUAUUAUGAAGUCAGGAUCAUGACAUGUUCUUUUUUCCUCUUGUUCUUCCUGAGUCUGGUGUUCUUUCCCUCAGUAACGGACUAAGAUGCAAGUGUGUUGUGAAGAAGGAGAAUUUCUUGCCCAGAUGGACCCCGGUGAAAGUAACUUACGUAAAGAGACUCCGCUUCUGUUUGGGAAAAUGAUCUAAGAUGCACGCAGUGCUUUUCUUUUUGGAGACGAACACUUUAUCCUAAUAUUUGGCCACUUACAAUCAGUCUGUUGCAGAAUCAGGAAGUGUUCUAUAUGUUAGCAUGAAGUUCAAACCAUAGCCUUUAAACACUGGGAAAGGGAAUUGAGGGUAGAUGCCAAGACGGGUUUGGAAAAGGCAUGGUAAGUUCAGGAAAGUGUAAAUGGUUUCAUCCGGCCAAAGCACAGUAGCAGUGUGAGGAAGUGGUAGGAGGUGAGAAAGGAUAGGUUGUGGGGACCAGACAACAGAGGAGCUUUGUAUUUUAUGCUAAGGAGUUUGGAUUUUUUCCUGUAGAUAGUGGGGAAACUUAUAAUACCUUUUUUAUUUUUUAUUUUUUGAGAGAGAGAGAGAGAAAAAGAGGGUAUAAGUGAGCAAGGGGCAGAGAGAGAGAGAAUCCCAUGAGGGGCAGAGUGAGAGAGAGAGAGAGAGAGAGAGAGAGAGAGAGAGAAAGAAAGUGGGGCUUCUGAAGCAGGGCCUGUGCUCACCCGAUGUGGGGCCCGUGCUCACCUGGAGUGGGGCUCGUGUUUAUCCAAUGCUUACCCAUGCGGGACUCAAACUCCCGAACUGUGAGAUCAUGACCUGAGCUGAAGUCAGUUGCUUAAUGACUGAGUCACCCAGGUGCCCUCUCAUACCUUUUAAGAAGGGGACACAUGGAAUCAAGUUUGCAUUGAUGGAUUCGUGUGGCAAUAUGGAGUGUGGAUUGAAGGUAGAGAGACUGUUUGUUCGUCAGGAGAAACACUCUUCUAGAGUCUCCUAGUAUUCAAGCAGGAAAUAAUGGCCUGAAUUAGGAAACUGUUCUAGGCAUGCAGAAAAGGGUGCCCUUUAUUCAUUCAGUGUUUGAGAAAUGUUUAUUAAGUUCCUGUUCUAUGUCUGACACAGGAUUAGUUAUAUAUUGGGUUAACAAGGUGAACAAGGUACAGUUACUACCUCCAGGGAACUUAUCAUCUGGUGGGAGAUUGGACAAGCAACAAAAACUGCCUGUUACAAAGGCCAAGUGCUGCACCAGGGCAUUUAUGACAGCAUGUAGACCCUAACCCAGUUCUGGGGGGCGGGAGGGCCUUUUUAGGAGACAGCCAAGUGAAGUUGUACAGCUUCACUUAGGGGUGGGGUUAGGGGUGUUGGAAAGAGCUGAGCUGCUUCACUUGAGGAAAUAGUAUCUGAAAAUGGCUAGAGCAGAUGAGAGAAAAACCCUGGUCCUUUUAGGGCCCUGCAAGUCAGUUAGUGUGGCAGGAUUGUGUAGAGCAGGGAAGUGUGGAGACAAAUGAGGCCAGGGGAAUUAAACAGUCACCUGGUGACCCACAUGAAAAGAGUUUGUCUAAAAACACAUGAACUGUUUUAAGCCAGAGAGUGUCAUGACCAAAUUAGACCUUUAACAAAUAUCCUUCUGGCUGCUGUGGGGAGGAUGGGAAGGGAGGGGGAAGAAUAGGGUCAAUAAUAAAAGAGGUACCAGAGAGGUAGGGGAGGGUUUGUUGGGAGCAGAAGGAGGAGUUGAAAGAAGGGAGUGGUCAGUUCUGGAAAAUAUUGCUGGGAAGUCAUUAAGAUGGAGACUGGGAAGUAUCUACCAGUAGGUCAGUUGGUGACCUUAGUGGGACGGGUUUCACUAGAGUCAUAGGGUGGGAGGCCAAUGCUAGGGGAUUGAGGAGUGUUAGGUAAAUAGGUAACACUAGUGAUUAAAGGCUACUGUCAUAGAAACUUGGUCGUGAUAAGAUAAGGAGCAAUUUCAAGAAAAGGGAAGGAGAAGGGGUCAAGUGAUGGAAGGUUCUAAUGACGUUAAAGAGUGUUGAUGUGGUUCUAUAAGGCAAUGAGAACAAUGACAAUAGACUAAUCUAUUGGGGGGGCGGGGAUUAACAUUAUCUUGAAUCCUUGUUAGUUGUUUCUUAUAAUUUUGCAGGAUAAGUAUUAUGAAUGUUGGAAAUUGGAAAAAAAUCUGUCUAGCUGAUGCAGAUAUAGUACUUUAGGAUUUCAAGACUGGACUAGCUAUGGAUUAUGACUAAUCUAGGAGAGGAGAUAAAGGUCCUUGGCAGUAACAUCUCCAUAAUGGGAGGUUGGCUAGAAGGAUGGUUGUAACUAGGAUGGAGAAGACCGAGCCAGUGCCAAAUCAUUCUCGUACUUUGGAAGGUGGGCUGGAGAUGAAUUAGAACAUUGACUUAGAGAGUCGUAUGGUUGAGUGGCGUGAACUUCUGAGGAGAGGAAGUUUUCCCCACUCACAGAAGGUGGGAGAACUUUGGGGAGAGAGAUCAAUGAUCCCAGAUUCUAGUUCCAUGUAUGAGGAGAAUUUGCCAAGAAGGUAGACUUUUUUAGCUGAGCUUCUUUGCCGAGGGAUCAGUGAGUACUGUUUUAUGAAUACGUUCAGUCUGAUUUUCUGUGGAGAAGAUUACUGUCAGUUUUCUUCAUAUGAAUGCAUUUGGAAAACUGCUGCUAAGCAACCUGUUGUCUUUUUGAGUGUUACUAUAAUCUGGUGUCAACGACUAAAUGAUCUCAUUGGGCCAGUUUUCUCCCCUCCAGCUAUGCUGGCAUAAGUAAGUACAUUAAUAGUCUUUAAGAAAUACAUUCAUCACAAACCAGGUAAUCACUCUGGAGCUGGCCUUGGCAGUGUCUGAAUGAGUCGGACAAGUUAGAGAAAAUGUUGAGCCCAAAAGCUGCUUAAGUCUUUUAGAUUUGUUCGGGCAAAGUAACAACCAAUGAAUCAGCUGUAAUUUAAUGGGGUCUGAUAUUACUUUUUAAGAUAGAUCACUUUAAUAUGAUGCUUUGUCAUUAAUGUUUUAGUAAUCUGACAGCAUUAAAGAGAGUUGAUAGUCCCUGUUUCAUUAUUUCUUGGCUCCAUGACAGAACUAUGCAUUAAAAUGCACUUAAGAUUUUAAAAGGGAUGUCUAGGAAAGUAGUUAACCAACAAACCAAUCCCAAGUGGGUUGAUCUGACUUAUAAAUUCCAAACAAUGUGUAGCUAAUUGCAGAUAGACUUUAUUCCUCCAGGUGUUGUAUCAGGUCUCCUGUGUAUACCUUUUGUAUCGGAGCCCAAGUAGCGGAGAUGUUUUCUUGCCAACAUUAGGUUUGAGGAAGUAGUUUCCAGGACAGGAGUAUCGGGAUAGUUUUAUUUUAUGGUGUACUUUCUCUUUUUUUUUUUAUAAGCCUGCUAAAAUUCAGAGGUUGAGCAAGAGGCUUUUGAGCUAAAAAUGAGCUGAUAGAAAUUUUUAGCAGCAAUGAAAAAAACAUACAAUUAUCCAAUGUACAUAUCUAAUAUUAGAUAUACCUUGUGUGUGUGUGUGUGUGUGUGUGUGUGUGUGUGUGUAUAUAUCACCCAGUGUCAAUUAUGUAAUGUCAAUUAUGAUGUAAUUCUUUUUUACUUUCCCAAACGGUGAGGUUUUAUUUGGAAAAAAAAAAAACAAAAAACCCAUACUCAGUGUUGUUGUGGGGUGAGGGACUAGGUAGGUACAAUUUGAGGAGUAUCUUAAAAAGUGUAUAUUCGUUGGGGUGCCUGGGUGGCUCAGUCGGUUGAGCGUCCGACUUCGGCUCGGGUCAUGAUCCCGCGGUUCAUGAGUUCGAGCCCCGCGUCGGGCUCUGUACUGAUAACUCAGAGCCUGGAGCCUGCUUCUGCUUCUGUGUCUCCCUCUCUCUCUCUCAAAAACAAAUAAAAAAAAAAUUAAGAAAAAAAAGAAAGUGUAUAUUCGUUGACUUAACAGUUUUGGUUUUAGGAGUUUGUCUUAUAGAAAUAAGCAUAGGUCACAAGAGUGUAGCCAUAAGAAUAUUUACCACGACAUUGUUGAGAUUGAUUAAUUGCAUAUGAUCUGAGGAUAACAAUGAAAAUGAUUGUUUAUUUUACUCAUUUUGUACUCUUAGCAUGGUCAAUUGAUGGGAUUAUUUUGGAAAGACUUUAAAUUAAAGCCAAGUAUAGAGAGAUGAUUUUUAUUUAAAGUCACAUUGCUAGAUUGUGGAAAACUGAAGCAUUUUACUGAAUUGCUUCUUCAGAUGAAGAAUAUUUUUCAAUUAAAGGUCUUCUUACAGAUCCAACCCCCUCCUGUGUCUCACAAGAUUAUACUCCUACUGGUAUCAUAAGCACACAAAUAUGCUGAACUUAAAGCUGAUGUGAAGCCAGCGUUCAUCUGGAUGGACUAGACAGCAGUUAGCAUCAUGAGUUGUUUGUCAUUGCUGAUCUACCCUGAGCUUAGAGGAAUCACAGAUUUUAAAGAAUUUUAAAGGAAUUGAAGUUUACAGCUUUGGAGAAGUCAUAGACAUUUAAGUUUCCAAACCGUAACUAGAGUGCAAACAUCUGUCUCUGGCUUAAUUAUCACAUACUUGCCCUGUUGUUAACAGCUUGGGGUAAAGAAGUGAAGAACCUACAGGUAAGCCAUAUCUGCCAAUAAAAACAUAAAAAUGCUUUACACUUGGAUGCACCUGGGUGGCUCAGUCGGUUAAGUGUUCAACUUCAGCUCAGGUCAUGAUCUUGUGGUUCACGAGUUGAGCCCUGUAUCGGGCUCUGUGCUGACAGCUCGGAGCCUGGAGCCUGCUUUGGAUUCUGUGUCUCCCUCUCUCUCUGCCCCCUCCCCUGCUUGUGCUCUGUCUCUCUCUCUUAAAAAAAUAAAUAAACGUUUAAAAAGUUAAAAAAAAAUGCUUUACACUUGGGACUUAAACCAGUUAUUCUGGAACUGUUCUAAUAUUUUAAAUUCUAUGGCCAAACUCUAGGCAUGUUUGGUUCCCCUGUAUUUGUAAAAAUGUAUUUUGUUCGUAAGUCUUUUGAACUAAAAGCCAAGAAAUAUCAUGGCUUGCAUAAAUCUGGAGUCUGAUUUGAAAUGUGCCUUUAUUUCAUAUACCUUUGUUCUUGAGGGUUGCAUACCUAUAGCUGUCAAUUUUCUCUUUGAUUUGUUCAAAAUGGAUCACUUAGUACAAUUAGUUCUCUAGCUAUACACUUUUAGUGUAAUUCAAAGCAAGUUCUUUGGACUGGUUUGGGAUUAUGGCUAACUUUUCAUUUUUGUAUGGCUGAUAAUUUAUACUUUUACUGUAUUAAGUAAAAAGCUCAUGUAACUACACACUUAAAAAUUGUGAUUCUGUGAAAAACUUAAGUGAUCUCGGAGGUGUGGGAAGAGUGCAAAGCACUAGAUGAGAUGAGACCUUUCUGUGCCAGGUGGAGGCUUCCUGAGGCAUAUGGUGCUCAGGUUUGGUGAGGAAAUGGUGAAAGCCACAGCCUUGUCCUGCCGUUUCUCCAUUUCGUUUCUUUACCUGUGAGAUCAUGGUCAAAGUCCCUGGCUAUCAUGGUGGGAAUUGAGGUUUUAAACAUUUAUUUCUGUUUACAUCCCAAAUCCACCUUAUAAAGAGGAAGGAGAAUUACAAGUAUUUUUUAAACUACAGUUGUCAGUCUGUUACUUACUUUCCUUUCUUUGAGCCCCUGAACAUUAAUGGAAGUGCCACUAUCUCAACUUACUCUAUGCUUUCUAGGCAUUUCUAAAACUGGUAAAAAGGGAAAAACUAAUAAUUAACUUUAGAGGCUAGUAGAACCAUGAAAAUAAUUGGGUUGUUAAGUGGAUCCAAGAGACCUUUAUUUUUUUAUUUAUUUAUUUUUUUAAAAUGUUUUUAUUUAUUUUUGAGACAGAGAGAGACAGAGCAUGAAUGGGGGAGGGGCAGAGAGAGAGGGAGACACAGAAUCGGAAGCAGGCUCCAGGCUCUGAGCCAUCAGUCCAGAGCCCGACGCGGGGCUCGAACUCACAGACUGUGAGAUCGUGACCUGAGCCGAAGUCAGACGCUUAACCGACUGAGCCACCCAGGCGCCCCCAAGAGACCUUUAUUAAGCACCUACUAUGUGCUUGAUACAUUGCUCUAGGCAUUGGUUGUUACCAAGAUCGUGAAAGACCUGGGAGGGAGAUACACGGAGUAUUAAAGGAUGUAGACGAAGAGCUGAUCAAACCUGUUCAUGUGUUUUCUAGAAGAACUUCUUACACACUUUUUUUUUUUUGAGCAACAGUAUUCAAUUUUGUCAUUUAAAAAAGGAAUCAACCUUCUUUGUCAACAAUAGCCCUGUUGUGCUUUUUUUGAGUCCCAGCCUUCCCUGAUUGUCCUGAUUGGCUGAGAUCUGUUGUUCCUCCAAAUUCAUAGUAUUCUGUUUUCUAUACACUGUACAUUCGUCACUCUCUGGAAAAAUGUUAAAGAUCCCAGUGUUCUCAUUUUAGUAUACUAACAUCUUUUUAAAAUCUUGUAUUCCUAAUCUCAUUUUCUCUUUUUCUUUCUUCAUUUUAUAUUUAGCCAGUGUGUAUUUAUGUAAGUAUAUGUAUUUAAACAUUCCCUGAAUCAAUGUGAAAUAUAAAUAUGUUAACAGUAAAUGCUGUAUUUGCCUUUUUAGUGGUGUAUGUCUUACACCUUUUAUUAAAAACGCAAGCCACUAUGGAAUGAGUCUUUGUUUAAGUACAAUACCUUGCAUAUAGUAUAGGGUGCAUAGAUGUGGAUUUACAUUUAGUGCCUUGUAUGUUUGUUGAGUGAAUAAUUGAUACCCAUAUGAGAUACUCUGCUCCUGGGUCUUUUGUUUGUCCGCGUCUCACUUGCCUCUGUAGCAGACUGCCUGCCCUGUUAGAUCCAGAUGAAUUGGCUGAGUAAAUAAGCAGUAUUUUGCUCAGCACAUCUCUGUUCAUGUGUGUGGAUUUAUGUCCAUCCUCAGACUAGUUGCUAUGGAGUCAAGUGCCUGGCAAAACAAAGGAAGACUGGCAGUGAAAGUAUCUCAAGAUGGGUAAUCUAAUAAUAAUGGCCAGCGGUUCCUCUGAAGCUUGUUUCCUCCAGUUGUUAACUUCAGAGAGAUGUAAAAUUGCUUGUGUUAGAAUAGACAUGGGUGUUGUUUUUUGACAAUGGAAUAAAGUGGAAAGGUCCUGAUAUUGUUGCGGAUGAACGUGAUACUGGUCAGAAAACACGAGCCCGCCCACGUUAAGUCUGCGUGAUCCCGUUAACAACUGAAGAAUGGUAGACAGCUACCUGUUGUUUAGUUAUUUCUUUUUUUUGUAUCGAGGAUAGAGAAAUGCCAUAUUUUUCAUUCUGUUGGAACUGCCCCUCCUCGUGUGACUGGAUUUGGGCAAGUUUAUGUGUUGAUAUUUUUCUGGUCAUAAAAUUGUGGCUACAUUUAAGAGAAUAUUAUUUACAGCCUCCUGACAUAGUCAAAGCUAUAAUAUGGAACGAAAGAUUUAUCAUUCAUUGUGUUUAUUGAAUAAAAUUUUGUUCCUUGUUUUUAGUUGUGGAAACAAGUGAGUGGAGAGCUUAUUACAGUGCACAGCAUUUUGCUGGAAACCGUGGAUGAUGUUUAGGGAAGAUCUUUAGGAGAAAAGUACUUUGUGGAGUUUGAACUAACAGACACGACUAGACAGCAGUGUACGUUAUCCUCUGCAGCUAGGUUCUUGAGAGGAUUAGGGGCAGUCGCCAGGGGAUCAAAAUAUCGGCAGCUUCUCAAAGAAUCCGGACUGUUUUCUGGAAGUGUGGAUAACAGUCGCACAGGCAGAAGGUAGGGGCGAGAGGAGCCUGGAAAGCGGGCCUUUUAAAAAGACUGUACUUGCUGCAGAGGCAGAAACAAAAGAGGUAAGUUUUGUGUGAAGGUAAGUGAUAAGCAGUAGCAGGACAAAAAGUGAUUGUCCGGGGGCAGAUGUAUAUGGAAGAUUGCGUGGGGACGGGUUUUAGAGGAUCGUGAAAGCCGGACCCAUAAGUCUGAGUUUGGUAUGAGCAAACACAGGUUCUUGAUGUACUGCGGAAGGAAGUGUUUUAGGGAAUUGAGGCUGACGGUGAUAUCACAGGAGGAUAGUAUAUAUAUAACAGUGGUCAAGAUGGAGAGAUUAAUUAGGUAAUGUCAAAGGGAUUUUAUGGUCAUUUAUUGAAUCCUGAACAAGCACUGUUUGUCCUAAGUAGUUUAAUCAUGAUUUCGUUUAAGCCUCACAACUACCCUGUGAAUUAAGUAUAUUAUUGUCUUUACCUUAACAGACGAGGAAGCUGAAGCGCACAGCAAGGGCAAGCAGCUUUCUUGAAGUCACACAGCUCAGAAAGAGUAGAGCAAUCAGUCUGGCUUUGGAAGCUGAGGUCUUACCCUGUGUUCUGUUUCCCAGAGGAAAUAAAACUAACAUUCUUUCCUUCUAUGUGAUUUUUUUUUCUGUAUUAAUUCCCCUUCUCCUUAACUACAACAUGGUUUAUUGGCCUUCCAACAAAGGUUUGGCUUCGGGAUUUCAAGUAGUUUUGCUCAUUUUGAACUCUUCAAAAUCAGUGACUACUGGUUACUUAUAAAUGAUACUUUGUAAUUUAACUUUUCCCCUCUAAACUGAGACAAAUCGAAACAACUUUAGACUGGACUUUAAGGUUGGAGGGCCAGAGGUUAGCUAAUGUCAUAAAUGUUUCCAGUUUGCUGAGUUUACCUAGGUGAUAUUGUAAACAGUAAUGGUUUUUGUAUUUAUAUCUGUUUAAAAAUACAAUUUACAACUAUUAAAAAUUUUUUUAAAUGUUUAUUUUUGAGAGAGAGUGUGAGUAGGGGAGGGGCAGAGAGAGGAGACAGAAUCCAAAGCAGGCUCCGGACUCUGAGCUGUCAGCACAGAGCCCAAUGCGGGGCUUGAACCCACAAACCAUGAGAUCAUAACCUGAGGCUCAGUCAGAUGCUUAACCAACUGAGCCACCCAGGCGCCCUACACCUACUUAAAUGCUAUAGCUGACAGGAGCUCUUUUUUAAAAAUAGCGUGCACGCAUACACACACACACACACACACACACACACACACACACAAUUUGGGUUUCAGCAGGUCACAGGAUUCAUCACAGAUUCCUAAUUCGUCUGUGGCCACUCUGAUAUAGAUGUACUGCGCAAUUUAGAAAAGGCAGAUGCUUGGCUGUUGGUAUGCUCUGGGGUCCCUAUGUCAUUUGUGACCAUUGGUCUCUUCGCUGCGUGUCUUUUAGGACAAGGGAUUAACCUCCUACAGAGGCAUUUCAGAGAUUUUCCAACUAAUGAUUUUUCCUCUUAGACUUUACUGUUUGGUUUCUUUGGCAACCAGACCUCCCUCAGCAUCCUACGGCCCCUCUUCGUCUCCACGGCUUCUCCCGUUACUUGAGGGUGUUUUUCCCUUGCUCCUUUAGCACUGUACGAGAAGAAUAUGCAUGUUUUCUUAAAUCUCUGUUUCUCUUUGCUUCUGAGAAUAAUUAGAAGGAUAGAGAAAGGAAUCCCUUUUAGAAGCUAAAUAACUGGUAUUUUUGGGUUUUAGGGUUCCAGCCAUAAAAAGCUAAGUUUAUUCUUUUUCUGCAUCUUCCUUCCUCCCUCCCUGCCUUCCUUCCUUCCUUCCUUCCUUCCUUCCUUCCUUCCUGCCUCCCUCCUUCCUUCCCUGCCUCCCUCCUUCCUUCCCUCCCUCCCGCCCUCUUUUUGUUAAACAGUAAUAAAGAAAAUAUUUUCCAGUUAAACCAAACAUUUUACAAUCAGAAUAUUUUAGGAUGUAGGGUGUAGAGAGAAAAACAAUCUGAAAAUGACAUGUAGUUUGAUUAUAUAGAGUUAUGCUGUGAUUUGUCUAUUUAAAAAUCAUCAACUGUGGGGGUGCCUGGGUGGCUCAGUCAGUUAAGCAUCUGCCUUCAGCUCAGGUCAUGAUCUCACGGUUUGUGGGUUCGAGCCCCACAUCGGGCUCUGUGCUGACAGCUCCCUCUCUCUGUGUGUCUCCCUCUCUCCCUGUGUCUCCCUCUCUCCCUGCCGCUCCCCUACUCACGCUCUGUGUCUCUCUGUCUCUCAAUAAUAAAUAAAUGUUAAAAAAAAAUUUUUUUUUUAAAUAAAAAUCAAUCGUGUCUAUGGAAAGCACUUUUGUUACUUUGGGGUUCGGGGGAGGAAAUAAAAAUCUAUCCCAUUGUUUGUUCACAUUUGGUCCUUAAAUGAUACUUUAAAAUUUUUUUAAGUUUAUUUAUUUAUUUGGGAGAGACAGAGAUAGCGUGAGCAGGGGAGGGGCAGAGAGAGAGGGAGAGAGUGAGAAUCCUCAGCAGGCUCUGCACUGUCAGCACAGAGCCCGAUGUGGGGCUUGAAUGCACAAACCGUGAGAUCAUGACCUGAGCCAUAAUCAAGAGUCAGAUGCUCAACCGCCUGAGCCACCCAGGCGCCCCUUAAGUGAUAUGUUUUGAAUCCCAAUUCCUUGACCCUGUUUGUAGUAGCUUCACUAUCCUGGGCAGAGGCGGCCGUUUCUACUACCUAGAACACAGUGACAAGCCCUCCUUCUUUAAGUGUAAAUGAGACCAUUUAUACAGUACCAUUGUACAAUAUAUAUUGGGUACCACAUGGUUGAUCCUAACUAGAGUCUUAGUAACCAUGUCAUUUACUUUGACAUUUGGAAAUACUCACUUUGGCAUACACUCACUGUAUUUAUUUUGUUUAACAUGCUGUGGAGUGAAUAUGAUGUAGGGAAAGAGUGGGUAAGAAAGGAAGAGGUAAGGGAACAGAAAGAGGAAAGAUUGGUGCACAAAUGUCUUCCCCUACAGGUACACAAAUAUAUGGGGUUUCAGUAUGUGUGUCCCCAUAUUUGAAAAGAUAAGAUGACUCCCUUUUCGGGAUCUGUAAUAAGUUUGAUGAUGUAUGUGUAUGAGUGUAAUGUAUAUGUCUGUAGAUAUGUUUGCUGUAAGGUAGGAAUGAAUGAAAAGCCUGCUUAUGGAAGCAAGAAGAAGGAGGAAUUAAUUCUGGCUGGAGAAGUCAGGGAGCGCUACAUUGAAGAAAUUGACCACAGACCUGGCCUUGAGGAGAGUGAAUGAGAAUUACUAGUUGCUACAGUGGUUAGCAUCAAAAAGUGUGGAUGGGGUGAAGGGGACUGUCACUGGGAAUAUGGGAAGAUAACAGGUGGGAGGUAGGGUUGGAGCCAGAUUGUGAAAUACUCUUUGUCUUUAUCAUUUAAGACAAGGGACAAACACCAAAAUAUAUUUUUGGUUUGGUCUUUUAGAUCACUAGAUUUGUGUUUUGAGAGUACCUCUGAGUAUAAAAUUAUCUGGAGUCUGUGGCUAGAACUGUACAGUAAAUAAUGAAUUUGUAACUUAGCUAUUACAGUAAUCAGAUAAUACCUGUUUUUUCCCUUCCCUCAGUCUUUAGAAAAGUGUUCUGUAUAAUGAGGCAGUUUUAUACAGUGGUUAAGAGGUGGUAUCUGAUCUUGAACUCCUAGUCUCCCAUUUACUAGCUAUCUUUUUAACUUUGGAUAAGCCUUAAGCUUGGUUUAACUCGUCUGUAAAACAGGCAUAAUAAUGCCCACCCCAAAGAAUUGCUCUAAGAUUGGAUUGAAUGAGAUCAUAUAUGUAAAGCCCAGCACUUAACACAGAAAACAUACCUAAUAAAUAGUAGCGAUUAUUAUUUUGUGGCACUGCUUUCAUUAUAGAAGAAAUAUUUUGGAAUUUGAGGGAUUAAUGGUUUGGGGAGCGGGAGGAGGAGACCUUCGGUAAGUAGAUUAAUUAGGAAGUAGACUAAUUAUGGCUUUAUCCCAACAGUGCUUUUAGGUGACAGGGGAAUUCAAGGUAGAAGAGGAGGUUUGGCCAGAGAAGAGAAAAUGUAAUCAUUUUAAUUAUGGAUGGGCUGACUGUCGGGUAAUGGAGUAUAUGAGGGUGAUGCCCAGGAGGUGAUGGUCGGAAAUAUUUGAGCCUGCAGGCACAGAUGUGGAAGUAAUCAGUGUCUGCUGGGAGGUACCUGAGUCAGGAAAGAGUGAUCGAGUGAGUAGCAGUAAAGAAAACCGAUGGUUAGACUUGGGAGCCCGACAGAGAUUGUCCCUAUUUGACUCUAGGGGUAUAGUGCACUAGUCUUUCGUCUUACAUUCUUGAAAAAACUAGGGACCAAGAGAAAUUAAUGAUUUCUUUUUCUUAAUGUACUGCCAAUAAAAUAAUAUCUACCAUUAUACUGAGGCUUUAGACUAUACAUUUAAAUGGCCUGUGCGUUCAGAUUUGCUGCUUUACUCAUUCAUGUGUACAGGAUGGACCCAGCUUUGGUUAGCCUUCCGACCGUUGGGCCUCCCUCACGACAUCGUCUCCCCUUCUCCCUCAAAGUGGGGGAAAAGUUACUUCUUUGAACUGGGGAAGCUGUCUGAUGUUGGCAGGUGUCCUCCUUCCCAAGUCUAGGCACUUGGCCUCUGUAGUCGCUUUUUAUUCGGGGAAGUUCCCACCUCUGAAGUGAGGACUUAGUGUAGCUUUGCUGGUAAUGGGCUAGUCGUGAUCACUACGGGGAUUGGUAUGGGGAGGUACCAUGUUCCGUUGCUUCCAAGAAGCUGGCACAGUUAAUGCGUUCAGUCACAGCCUUCUCUUUACGUGACCGCAACAUUAAGAGACGCAUUGUCUUACUGCCUUCUCAUGGGAUGUCUGCUGUUUCUAAUUAAUUUUGUUUUUUUUUCUGAGUGAGAAGAAGUCUUUUGCCAUUGUCUUCAAACUGAAAUUUAAAUUUCAGCAGCUUUUGAUGUGAUACAAUAAAAUAUUAAGAGACUCAGAAAUUAUUCUAUUAGAACUUAACUCCUGAAACCAGCACUAUGUAUGUUAGCUAACUUGAAUUUAAAUAAAUUCAAGUUAAAAAAAAAAAGUUUGAAAUGUUUAUUUCCCAGUUGAUAGUAGGAUUUAAACCUUAACCCCGAGGUGUGUUUUUAGUUACCUUUUUGAAUUAAAUUGUCAGAAACUCUCUUCCUUGGGUUGAAGAUUUAUGGCUGUUAAUCGUCCUGCCUUAUCCGACUUCAUGUACCAAAAUCUAGAGAUGGGGUUAUAAUUGGAAGUCCACAUUAAUAGGAAGUUAACAAUUCCACAGGGUCAAGUCUAAUUUUUCAUUUUAAAUUACUCCAUCCUUUCUUUACUUCUGGGGUACUAACUGAAAAUAACUUGGGUUGCCUUUAGUUUUAAUUUAUAACUUUUUUAGGGUCUCACAGGGCUGACCUUGUUCUUGAUUUUUAGGGACUUACGAUAGUUUGUAUUCGUGUUGAACUAGCAACAUCCUGCCUGUUUUCAAGAAGCAUAGUGGAUGAAUACUGAGGUGCAAGUUUGUGCAGACUUUAAAUAAGUGUAUGGUGAGCUAUAAAGUUACAGUGUUAAAUUAGCUUCUGGCCUGCCUACUUUGUUUCCAAAGUUCACUUUGCAUUUUAAGAGCCCUUCCUGAUUUUAAAAGCAGAUACAAAGAAUUGCAUGGAAAUACAGAUAGAUCAUCAUCUGAGGGACUUUUGAAGUUGGAAAAAUAGUGAAUGUAGCAAAAGCGAGGGUGCUGUUGGCUGGGCAUUAUGGACUAGAAACCCGCAUUUCAAGUUUAAACCGUUUGGGUAAGACGACACAUUUUCCCUGGUUUAUACUCAGAUUUUUCCCUCCUUCUCCCCUUACCACUGUCACUCACAACACAGAAAAAUCUCAUUUACUGUGGUCUUAUUUGGAAGAGAGACUAGAGUGUGGAUUAUUUAGGGGCAAAGAAGGAGCAUCGAGGUCUUUUCAAUAUGAGGUAUUUCUGUCUAUGAACAUAGCACAGGGCUUAGGUCCUUCACAAAUGUUUUAUAGUUUUCUCUGUAAAGUUCUCACAUAUUUUUGGAAUGUUUUUUCCAAGGCUUCUGAUAGUCUGUGGCUACUGUGAAUGUGUUCUUUGAAAAAUUAUCAUCAUCAUCAUCAUCAUCGCAUCUUCUUACAAAUCGAUGUUAGUGUAUUAAAAAGUUACUGCAUUUUCAUAUGCUGGGAUCUCAUCAUUUAUUUCAUACUUAGGUUUUAUUUAUCCCCUCAAUACUUCAUUUUCAUCAUCUGUCCAUCCAAGGGGUUGGGUUAGAAAGAUAUUUCCAAGGAUCUUUCUGGCGUCAACAUUACGUGCAUCUAUGAUGAGCUAACAUCCUUUACGUACUUUAUGAGGUGAGUGGGAGUUGUACCAGCCAAACUGCAGAUAAGUUCUGUGAAUGCAGCCAAACUUAGCUUCGUUCAUAUAUGUCUGCAUGUGUUUAACACUCCUUGUAUAAUGAUUCUUAAACAUAUUGAGGCAAAGAGUAAAUACUUAGCAUUUUAAAAAUAAACCUCAGAAGUACAGUUUCUUAUUCUGCUUAAAAUGGUUUACUGUUCUCACCCCACACUUUUGUUUGUUGCUGUGUUAGUUGUACUGCAUAUAGUUUUUCUCCUGAAAAUACAUGAUCUUUAAACCAUAGUUUUUAUAAACAUUUGCAUCUCAAGUCAGAUUUUUUCCUAGAACAUGGAUUUCAUUUGGUGGGUUUCAUUAGAACAGGUUAUGUUAAGAGCGCUUUCUCACACAUACCUCUGUUCCAAGGAUCCUGUGUGCAGACGUCAGAAGAUUCCAUUGGGAGGGUGGGUGGUGUUCUUGAGGAACUAUUUUAAUAUAAUAUUUAUUUCUGCGGGGUGGAGGGAAGCAGAAGCUGUGCUUGUCAUCUCUGAGAGUGUUCAAUCCUGACCCCAAGUGUAAGUCAGCAACAGGCCAUUUUUUUAUACCUUUCAGAAAGACAUAGGCUGUAUAAGUUUCUGUCUAGAUGCUAGCUAGGAACUUGAACAAAUUGAAAUGGCUAACUAAAUUUAAGUCAUGGUUUGAGGAGGGUUCCCCAAAACGAAUUCAGGGCAAAGGUUGCUGGAGGUCGUAUUGAGGUGGUACUGACUAGUACCAAUAUGCACGUAGGUACAUAUGUAUGUAUACAUUUAAAUUGUGCUAAAAUUAGCAUGUAACACAAAACUUACUCUCUUUACCAUUUUUAAAUAUACAGUUAAGAAUAGUGUGAAGUACACUUACAUUGUUGUGCAACCAGUCUCGAAAACUCUUUUCAUCUUGCAAAACUGAAACUCUAUACCCAUUAAAUUAAAUUGGACUAAAUUAAACUAAAAAGUAAUUUUUCAUUUUGUAUACUUCUUUAAAAAAAGUAACCUCUCCGUGCAGUGUGGGACUUGAACUCAAGAUCCCAAGAUCAAGAGUCACAUACUCUACCAACUGAGCCAGCCAGCCAAGUGCCCGUCUAUAUCCAUUUCUAGAACUCUGUAUUUUCCCCAUCCCCCUGCCCUUGGCUACAUUCUGUUUCUGUGAGUUUGAACUGGUAGUUAUUUUUUGGAGAACUCGUCCUCCUUUAUGCCAGCUAAAUGGAUUUUGAGGGUAAAGAGUAGAGUAAUCUAGUAAAACCAGUAGCCGUUCUCCAUAAUCACAUGAAUGUUGGUAGUUAUCAGCCCUGAAAUUAGAGCAUCAGUAAGGCUUCUGCAACACAGAGUUUAGAAAUUGCUACCACUUUUGUUUGUUUGAGGAGGAGGAAGAGGAGGAAGAGGAGGAGCAUAGCUGGUGACUCUUUUGGGUACUUGUUACUUGCCUGAGGUUGGAGGAGAGACCUACUUCUUCUGGGAUGAAACAAACAGGACAAGUUUGGGUGCAUGCAGAUGCACAGAGACAUAAAAGAAAUCGAAGGAAUUUUUCAUGUGUCUUUUCCAUGUCAAGUAUAAGAUCCCAUCAUCUGUUGAAAGUUAGGGGUCUACAGUUGGUUAGAAGACUUUUAGGAAGUGACAAAGUUGGGGUUCCUAGGCAAGGGAGUAGAGACCUGGUCGAGGAUAAGUAGAGUGAUUGUAAUUGCAACAACAACAACAACAACAACAACAAGAAUAGCCAAUACCUACUAGUUUCCUGUUCUGGGCCAGCUCUCGUUCUAGGUGGUUCUGUGCUUUAGCCUUCGUAGCAGCUUUAUACAAGCAUUUGUUCUACAGGUAGGAAAGUAAGUGGUGAGAGUUAGGGUUCCAAUGGCAUUUGCUUGCCCCAAGCCCAGGCUCAUUUCUCUCUCUGCACUGUUAAUGACACUGGGAGUGUCUGUGUGGCGUUGAGAGCCAGAAGUUUAGGGUGGAACUUAAAAGGUUGUUCUUCAGAGAAAUCGGGAGAAGGGCGGACUGAAAACAAUGGAUCUGUCCAAAAUAGAACAAACAUAUUGAUGCCUUUUUCCCCACCAGAAUGAUUGGUGCCCAUGAUGGGCCGCUUCACUGUCCGGAGUGAGCUGCCACACCCUUUUUCACUUUGUAGAGAAGAACUUGAAUUUAUCUGUGGAUCCGGUUAUGUGACUUCACAGAAAUAUCUGAAAUUGCAAACUCAUUUUCUCUUUAAAGCCCGUAUGUCUGAAAUACGGGGUUGAAGUUAAUGCUAGUAAAUGCUUUAAUUUCUGUCUAGGGGGAAAUGAGGGCCUUUUCAUUUGUAAUUGUUACAUUUAUUGAACAGGAGUUAGUUGUACUCCUAUUUUGUAUUAAGAGACUGUGUUGCAAAGUAUAAAACACAGUAUGCUGGGUUUUUUUUUAAACAGUAGUAUCCCUUUAUGCAUGUUCAUUAUUACUCUAAAUAAGUUGUCAAAUUCAUAAAAAGAAAACCCCCAUUUUUCUUAGAAUCAUAAAUUUAAGCUUAAGUUUCUUGUUUGUUUUUUAUCUGACAUAUGUGAAGGUAAUUCCAAACAGCUAAAAGAACAAAUGGAGGCCAGAAGAGUCUGUGGUACAGUAGGCCAAAAUGAAUUAAGUCAUAACUGAGCUUCUGUGCCCACUUUACUGUCCACAUGGACAGGCAGGCUCUUAUUAAUUUACGAGGGUAAACUCAUCUGGUAAGAUCAAUUAAUUUCUAGGCUAUAGCUAAUUUAUAUGAAUAUACCCUUAGUACUCACAUGCGAAAAUUCGUUACUGUUAUGGAUUAGAUUUACAUUGUCUAAACCUGGGGAAUGUAAUUUCACAUGCACCCCCCCCCCCCCAUUGCAUAUGUCAAAUUACUUGCAAUUCAGACUGAGGAUUUACCCCCUUCCAGGUUUAACCCUUUUAAACUUAGUAAUACCUCCUAGGCUUGAUGUAUUCUGUGUGCUAUCUACCUUGGUAAGAAGACUCUUUGAUUUUGAUGUUAGGAGAAAAACUAGCAAUAAGGUAUGAGAUGAAAUGUAACAUAGAUGGAUUCUGUCAACUUGGUAAACACACUGCUAUACAAUAGGGGUUUGUUGCAGACUUUUUUCAUAAGUAGAAAACUCUUCCAAAAGACAUUUUUGAAGUUUUGCUGUGAAGAAAGAUUGCUAGUGAAUGAAAAGAACCUUUUGUAGACCCCUCUAUCUGAGAGCUUGGUAACUGGCACUUUUGGAUUCUGUACACAGAGAUUCAUGGCUGGGAGAAUAUCUCAGGGUAAAGCUAUCUGAGUUUUGAAUCCAAAGCCAUUAAUUUCUUCAAUUAUGAGAAGAAACCACAGAUUGCAUAAUGGCCUUGGUAUUUUGUUGGUAUGGAGAGGGUGAUCGCAGAAGGCUUGUAAGCCUGUGUUGGGAUGUGUGUGACACGUGCCUUUUUUCUGAUUUUUAAAUUUCACCAGUCUUCGACACAUUUUUUAAACUGUGGAUAUCCUAAGUUAGCAAAUCCAAAUCAGUGCACAAAGCAACCAUUUUUGCCAGUGCCAAAUGCAUACUUUGCGGAGUUUUCUAAUCUGGGCUCCAGAGUUUAUACAUAGCAAAUUCUCACAUCUGCCAAGUUCUGUUAUGACCCAGAGGGGAGGAGAGCCACGUGGGACGAAGAAUCUGGAAAUGCAUACUGCCCAUAGGGGAAAUGGCAUUUUGGAAUUUGUUUCUAUGUGGAUUUUCUCCUCCUAGACCACUGUGAUGCUUAGCAGGCUGAGCUGGAAAGUUCAUGUUGCACAAGAUGAAGAACAAUAACUGGUCUGUUCGGUGGCUUGCUGUUAAGUCUCCUGCCAGUGCCGACUAAUAGUUGUGAUAGCCAUUUCUCCCCUGGGAUGUAAGAGUUUGGCUGUCAUCUUCUGGGGAAUAUGAUAAUUUGUUGCCAUUGCUUUCAGCAUGGUGGAGAGAUCUAACAUUUAAAGGCUCUUAUCCCAGUGGUUUACAGCUUUUCCCCCCCCCCCCCCCCCCCCCAUAAACUGCUGCUGCUUCUUUUGAGCCUUGACUGUAACUUAAAAAAUAUAGUAAGGGCAUCUGUUUCAUAAAAUGCACAUGAAUAUUAAAUCUACUUGCAUAUGAAUAUUAAAUCUAAUUGAUUCAUUUUCAUUUUGCCAAAGAGAACUUGAAUUUAUCUCUUACAAGACAUUGGCCUCAUUUUUUUUUUAACCUUAAGACAUUGACACUAGAAAUUGUUUGUUUUCUUUGCUUUUCUUUUAAAUCAGUAAAAUGUCCUUUUUCUUGGGUUGUGGUGCAGUUUUAAAUCAUGUUUAAAAUGUGCAUAGGGGCACAGACCCCAAUAGGGUUUAAAAGACAUGAAAAAUCUGGGAUAGAAGUUAGUAUGUCUAAUAAAUUUAAGUUCCCUCAGAUGGCUUUAUAGGAAGUGUAUUAAUAUUUUCCAAAGCGUUUCCAUUCAAGUGCUAGAUUUUACAUAGCUGCCUUUUAAAAAUAUAAAUGUAUUCCUGAAAUUAUUUAUCAAUUAAAAAAAUUUUUUUAAUGUUUAUUUUUGAGAGAGAGAUGGAGACAGAGAGACAGAACAUGAGCAGGGGAGGGGCACAGAGAAGGAGACCCAGAAUCCAAAGCAGGCUUCAGGCUCCAGGCUUCAAGCUGUCAGCACAGAGCCCAACAUGGGGCUUGAACCCACAAACUGUGAGAUCGUGACCUGAGCUGAAUCGGUUAAGCAUCCGACUCUCCAUUUCUGCUCGGGUCGUUAUUUCGCGGUUUCGGGACUUCAAGCCCCACAUCGUGCUGUGCACUGAUGGUGCAGAGCCUGCUUGGGAUUCUCUCUCUGUCUCUCUGUCUCUCUGCCCUUCCCCUACUCAUGCUAUCUCUGUCUCUCUCAAAUAAAUAAAUACAAUUAAAAAAAAAAAAACAAAAAAGGAAAAUACUCGCAGCUGGUUAUGAUUCCCAAGUGUCUGGGAGAAUAAAAUUCAGAUCCAACAUGGGAGCACCCAAAUAUAUAAAAUACUAAUAAACAUAAAGGAACUAAUUGAUAACAAUACAGUAAUAGUAGGGUACUUUAACACCCCACUUACAUCAAUGGGCAGAUCAUCUAUGCAGAAAAUUAACAAGGAAACAAUGGCUUUAAAUGAUACACUGGACCAGAUGAACUUAACAGAUAUAUUCAGAACAUUCCAUCCUAAAACGGCAGGAUACACAAGUGCGCAGGGAACAUUUCCAGAAUAGAUUACAUAUUAGGUCACAAAUACAAAAAGAUUGAAAUCGUACCAUGCACCGUUUCUGAAUGUAACAAACACUGUGAAGCUAGAAGUCAACCACAAGAAAAAAUUUGGAAAGACCACAAACGCAAACACUGGAGGCUAAAAAUGUGCUAUGAAACAAUGAGUGGGUCAACCAGGAAAUCAAAGAAGAGAUGAAAAAAUAUAUAUGGGAAAAAAAUGAAAAUGAAAACACAAUGGUCCAAAACCUUCAGGAUGCAGGAAAAGUGGUCCUAAGAGGGAAGUAUAUAGCAGUAGAGGCCUACCUUGAGAAGCAAGAAAAAUCUCAACUAAACAACCUAACCUUACACCUGAAGGAGCUGGAAAGAGAACAACCAAUGAAACCUAGAGCCAGGAGAAAGAAGGAAAUAAUAAAGAUGAGAGCAGAAAUAAAUGACCUAGAAACUAAAAAAAACAGUAGAACAGAUCUUUGUAGAAACACAUUUUAUAGAGUGGCCUCAACAAAGUUUUAUAAAUAAAAUGGCAAGAAGUGUGAGCUUGCACAAGAAAACAAGCAACUAUGAGUUAGAUUAUUAUUUCCAAAGAGGCCUCAACAAUAUUUCCUGACCAAUGUCAUGUGCUCUUCUAGAACCUUGCUAUUCUAUCAUCAAGAACUAGUCUGCUCCUUUCCAUUAAACCUGGGCAGGCUUUUGUGACUGCUUUUUUUUUUUUUUUUCUCCAGAAGAAUCUGACAGAGCUGACAUUAUGUGAUUUCUGAGGGUAAGCCAUAAAAAUGCCACACAUUUGUUCCUUAUUCUCUUGGGAUAUACAUUUUAGGAACACAUCCGCAUGCUGUGAAGAAGCCCAUGCAGUCCACGGGGAAACCCAUAUGAACAGGAACUAAGGAACUAAGGCCUCAGGCCCAUGACCCCGGCUCAGCUCCCAGCUGACAGCCAGCAUUAACUUGCCAGCCUUAUAAGUAAACGUGUUGAAAGUGGAUUCCCAGCCUCUGUCAUGCUGCUUUAGGUGAUGCCACAUAGAGCAGGGACAAGCUGUCCUUUCUGAGCCCUGGACAGAUUGCAAAUUUGUGAGCAAAAGAAAUGAUUAUUGUUUUGAUCCCCUGAGUUCUGGGAUGGUUUGUUGCACAGUGACAGGUAAAACUAGAACAUCAGUAGUAACCGUCAGUCUCAUAGACUGUAGAUUUUUGAAGAAAUAAAAGAGGGAAUUAAAAAUAUGAUAUCAUGAAGAGACUCAAAAUUGAUGAGAAAGAUACGAAAGAAGAGCUCAGUCUCAGUAGAACUUCUUAAAAAUAAAAAACAAAUGAAAAACACAAUGGAAAGUUGAUACAGUUUGGGUAAAUUUGAAAAGUGAACUGGAAGAUAGAUAGAUCUGAAGAUUUCCAGAACUGUAUGAAGAGAGGAGCUGGGGCACAUGACGUUUAGUGACAGAAGGAUGAGAAGAUACCACAUAUGUCUGACUAAGUGGUUCUCAAACGUUUUGAUCUUAGGACCCUGUCCAUUCAUAAAAGUUGAGAACCCCAGCUUGCUUUUGUGUAUGUACGUACACUUAUAAUUUGUUCACGUUUCUGUAUAUACAUUAUGGUUCAAUAAAAAACUUACUUUUAAAAAAAGACAACAUAGGGGCACCUGGGUGGCUCAGUCAGUUGAGCGUCUGACUUUGGCUCAGGUCAUGAUCUCACAGCUUGUGGGUUCAGGCCCUGUGUCGGGCUCUGUGCUGAUAGCUCAGAGGCCUGGAGCCUGCUUCCGAUUCUGUGUCUCCCUCUCUCUCUGCUCCUCCCCCACUCAUUCUCUGUCUUUCUCUGUCUCUCAAAAAUAAAUAAAAUGUAAAAAAAAAACAAAAAAAAGGACAACAUGAAGAGUAAAAAAGUAAGGCACAACCUGAGAGAAGAUGUACUGAUAAGGUUAUUCAGACUAUAAUAUAAUAUAAUAUAAUAUAAUAUAAUAUAAUAUAAUAUAUAAGUAAUGUAUAUAUACAGAAUAUAAUACAUAUAAUAUGUUAUAGCAUAUAUAUGCUAUAUUAUAUAAUAUAUAUAUACAGAAUAUAAUAGAAUAUAUUCUGUUAUUCAGAAUAUAAAAGAACUCCUCAAAUUAAAAAGAAUAAGAUAGGGAAGAAAAGGAAAUAGGAAAGUCCUGAAUAAGUUGAUUUCACUGGAGCAGGAACAAAUGGUCUAUGAAUGUACGAAAAGAUCCUCCAUUCUUUUAGUAAUCAAGGAAAUGCAAACUAAAACAGCAAGGAACUCUUUGCCUCCUUAUGCCCCAUCAGACUGGGAAAAAUUAAAAAAUAGUAGUUGUUGCAGAUGAUAGAAAGCAGUGGGAACACUUAACACUGUUGGAUACAACCAUUUUGGAAAACAAUUUGGCUUUACUUAGUGAUUCCUAAGUAUACACCCUAAUGAAACUCUUACACUCAUGGCCCAGGAGACACGUAUAAGAAUAUUUAAAGUACUGUUCAUAAUAACUAAAAAUGCAAACAACUCAAAUGUCUAGCAUCUGUAAAGCAAUACAUAAAGUUGGUGUAUUCAUAAAAGGAUGACUGU